This 1338-nucleotide ribosomal RNA is filed under the name Rothia sp. z23. RNAcentral's name for it is "bacterial SSU rRNA". It matches the Rfam family "Bacterial small subunit ribosomal RNA", at positions 28 to 1375 of the family's 1533-position model. Lineage: Bacteria; Bacillati; Actinomycetota; Actinomycetes; Micrococcales; Micrococcaceae. The record is from RNAcentral.
UGCWAAACUGGCGGCGUGCUUAACACAUGCAAGUUNAACGAUGAAGCCGGUGCUUGCACUGGUUGGAUAGUGGCGAACGGGUGAGUAAUACGUGAGUAACCUGCCUUUGACUCUGGGAUAAGCCUUGGAAACGAGGUCUAAUACCGGAURUGACACAGUUUCGCAUGAAAUCUGUGUGGAAAGGGUUUGUACUGGUUUUAGAUGGGCUCACGGCCUAUCAGCUUGUUGGUGGGGUAAUGGCUCACCAAGGCGACGACGGGUAGCCGGCCUGAGAGGGUGACCGGCCACACUGGGACUGAGACACGGCCCANACUCCUACGGGAGGCAGCAGUGGGGAAUAUUGCACAAUGGGCGCAAGCCUGAUGCAGCGACGCCGCGUGAGGGAUGACGGCCUUCGGGUUGUAAACCUCUUUCAGCAGGGGAGAAGCGAAAGUGACGGUACCUGCAGAAGAAGCGCCGGCUAACUACGUGCCAGCAGCCGMGGUAAUACGUAGGGCGCGAGCGUUGUCCGGAAUUAUUGGGCGUAAGGGGCUUGUAGGCGGUUUGUCACGUNUGCUGUGAAAGCCCGGGGGUUAACUCCGGGUUUGCAGUGGGUACGGGCUAAUUAGAGUGCAGUAGGGGAGACUGGAAUUCCUGGUGUAGCGGUGGAAUGCGCAGAUAUCAGGAGGAACACCGAUGGCGAAGGCAGGUCUCUGGKCUGUAACUGACGAUGAGAAGCGAAAGCAUGGGGAGCGAACAGGAUUAGAUACCUGGUAGUCCAUKCSGUAAACGUUGGGCAMUAGGUGUGGGGGACAUUCCACGUUUUCCGCGCCGUAGMUAANGCANUAAGUGCCCCGCCUGGGGAGUACGGCCGCAAGGCUAAAACUCAAAGAAAUUGACGGGGGCCCGCACAAGCGGCGGAGCAUGCGGAUUAAUUCGAUGCAACGCGAAGAACCUUACCAAGGCUUGACAUAUACUGGACUCCCCUAGAGAUAGGGUUUCCCUUCGGGGCUGGUAUACAGGUGGUGCAUGGUUGUCGUCAGCUCGUGUCGUGAGAUGUUGGGUUAAGUCCCGCAACGAGCGCAACCCUCGUUCUAUGUUGCCAGCACGUGAUGGUGGGGACUCAUAGGAGACUGCCGGGGUCAACUCGGAGGAAGGUGGGGAUGACGUCAAAUCAUCAUGCCCCUUAUGUCUUGGGCUUCACGCAUGCUACAAUGGCCGGUACAAAGGGUUGCGAUACUGUGAGGUUGAGCUAAUCCCAAAAAGCCGGUCUCAGUUCGGAUUGGGGUCUGCAACUCGACCCCAUGAAGUCGGAGUCGCUAGUAAUYGCAGAUCAGCAACGAUGCGGAAUACUCCCGC